Molecule: small nuclear RNA, 106 nt
Organism: Anolis sagrei ordinatus
Lineage: Eukaryota; Metazoa; Chordata; Lepidosauria; Squamata; Anolidae
Source: RefSeq, a predicted model, not a curated record
GUCAACACACUGAAUCCACAUAUACUAAAACUGGAAUGAUACAGAGAAGAUUAGCGUGGCCCCUGUGUAAGGAUGACACAAAAUUCAUGAAGCAUUCCUUAUUUUA